RNAcentral lists this ribosomal RNA (435 nucleotides) under uncultured bacterium. Its description in RNAcentral is "partial 16S ribosomal RNA". It matches the Rfam family "Bacterial small subunit ribosomal RNA", at positions 28 to 507 of the family's 1533-position model. The record is from RNAcentral.
GAUGAACGCUGGCGGUAUGCUUAACACAUGCAAGUCGAACGGACUCUUCGGAGUUAGUGGCGGACGGGUGAGUAACGCGUGAGAAUCUGGCUUUGGGUCCGGGACAACCACUGGAAACGGUGGCUAAUACCGGAUGUGCCGAGAGGUAAAAGAGAAAUUGCCUGAAGAUGAACUCGCGUCUGAUUAGCUAGUUGGUGAGGUAAAGGCUCACCAAGGCAGCGAUCAGUAGCUGGUCUGAGAGGAUGACCAGCCACACUGGGACUGAGACACGGCCCAGACUCCUACGGGAGGCAGCAGUGGGGAAUUUUCCGCAAUGGGCGAAAGCCUGACGGAGCAAUACCGCGUGAGGGAAGAAGGCUCUUGGGUUGUAAACCUCUUUUCUUAGGGAAGAACAAAAUGACGGUACCUAAGGAAUCAGCAUCGGCUAACUCCGUG